GCAGGGGUGGCAGAGCUUGGCCAAAUGCGACGGGUUCAGGGCCCGCUUCCUUUAGUGGAUGCUAGGGUUCAAAUCCCUACCCCUGCA
RNAcentral lists this transfer RNA (87 nucleotides) under Microcaldota archaeon. Its description in RNAcentral is "tRNA-Leu". It matches the Rfam family "tRNA". Rfam says of the family: Transfer RNA (tRNA) molecules are approximately 80 nucleotides in length. Their secondary structure includes four short double-helical elements and three loops (D, anti-codon, and T loops). RNAcentral also lists the same sequence under 1 other name. The record is from RNAcentral. Lineage: Archaea; Nanobdellati; Microcaldota.